Molecule: long non-coding RNA, 2123 nt
Organism: Tachysurus fulvidraco (yellow catfish)
Lineage: Eukaryota; Metazoa; Chordata; Actinopteri; Siluriformes; Bagridae
Exons: 4
Source: RefSeq, a predicted model, not a curated record
GGAGGGGAGGAGCAGCACAAGGACAUAGAGCUUAUAAACGCCCCUUUUUUUAACUGUUUCUUCUCCCUCUAACCCCCUUCUAUCAUACACACUGUGUCAGAGAAAUCUGCUUUUGGAAGUUGAACGUAGGCUGAUGAUAUGUUUUGAGCGUAAAGUGAAUAUUUAAUAUGUUUUCCUGGAACUUACUUACUUCAAUGCAUUUUAAAAUGAAUAUUAUGUAAGAUAGUGUGACCGGGAUGAGACUACUUUCGCUUUAAGAGGAUGUGUAGGAUAAUUACACAGGUGUUUAAUCGCUUGAUCUCGUUCCCUCUGCUCAGUGCUCUAAAGGUUGCUGUGGAUAUUCUGUCUCUUCAGUUUGGUGGAUUUAGUGGCUUUAGUGACUGCUGGGCAUUCUUCAGGAGUGUCAUUUAUCAGGUCAUAAAUGCAGACGCACAGCUUUCCAGAACAGGAUGUGUAACAAAUAACCAAUUGCUCAAUAGCACCUGAUAUCAUUAGCCAGGAGUACUUCCUUUUCUGUUGACUUGGCAACCACUGAUUCUUUCUUUGUAUUUUUAAUUUAUUUUCUUUCUUCAUUUAUUUUGUAUUUCUUUACACCAUUAUACACGAUAAAAUACAACAUGGAAUUAUACGCUCCUGUUUUAGUAAGUUUGAUCUGGGCAUAAAAUCUCCCUUGGGUUUGUGUAGGAAUUGAGUUCUUGUGUAUUGGGUGUUUUUCUUAUUUGUUUAUUAUUUGGAUUUGAGGUGCGAUUGAAACAUUUUUUUGUACAGGUUUAAUUUUGAUGUGAUUUUUUUUAUUGUGUUUAUUUUGUUUAUUAAUGCUAGAACUCAUUCCUUUUAUGCCCAGUGGGUGUUUAAAUCUGAACCAGUAGGGGGAGCUGUUGACAGUCUUUGUAUAUGUGGAGCUUCUAUUUUACCAUCGCUGUUGAAUAAAUUGUAAACUCCUUUGUACUCUGGCUUCUAAUUCAUUCAUUUGAAUUGCUUGAGCGUGUUGUCUUAUUUUCUCCCACUAAGUUGUUAAAGUGGGGGUGGUGUAGUCAUUCUCAGUUUAAUUAUCAAAAUGAGGAAUUUAUACCUUAUGGUUCACAUGCUAUGGUCACAAUAGCAAGACUCAGCCGACUCAAAAUCAGACCGAUUGUGUUCUCUACAUACGAGCUGCUUUUUCUUCUAAUACCAGACGUGUCAAGUAACACAGUACAAAUACUUCGUUACUUAAGUAGAAAUUGAGUAUCUAUACUUUAAUGGAGUAAUAAUUUCUUAGCAUACUUUUUACUUCUACUCCUUACAUUUUCACAAAAUUACUUGUACUUUCUAUUCCUUGCAUUUUAAAAAUAGCCUCGUUACUAAUAUUUCAUUUCAGCUUAUCAUUAAAAUAAAACAUAUUAAGAUAAAUCGCGCCAUAUAAAUAAAUAAAUCGUGUCAUCCGGAUAGAGAGAAUGUGGUUGUGGUUGGAUGAGAAGUAUAAACAUUGUACCAUUCCGACACCCUAUUGGUUUGUACGUGAUCUAUUGCACCUGCACAUUGACACAAAUCACACUUCAGUUACCCAAAUACGAAGAUGUCUGUGGAAGAGGCUCAAAACGAAAUGUCUCAACCAAGCACUAGCACCAGUGAGGAAGUUGGUAGCCAGGAAGACCAACCAACCCCAACCCUUAUACAUCCCUGGCUGUCCCUGGAAGAAUUUUUUUGAAAUGGUUGGAUGGAUAAAACUCAUUAACCAAAUGUUAUCUGAGCUUAUAUUGUUACUAUAUGCAAUAUUUGUAAGUUAAUUGUGCAAAGCUAUAAUCUACAGCUGGUUGAUAAGUUAUGUAGUAAGGAUAGUCAUGAUCCAUCAUUUUGAUCAAUGAUGUUAAGCACACAGCUGUUUGUUGUAACCAUUGACUUCCAUAGUAGGAAAACAAAUAUUAUGGAAGUAUAGUGAUAAAUGAAGACCAUAUUUUGAUAAAUGAUGGUAAGCACACAGUUGACGGUACCAUUGAAUUCCAUCAUUUAUUUUCCUACUUCCUACUGAGGAUGAGGUAGCCUAGUGUUUAAGGUGUUGGGCUACCAAUCGAAAAGUGGUGAGUUUGAUUCCUAUGUUCACCGAGCUGCCAUUGCUUGGCCCCUGAGCAAGGCCCUUAACCCUC